This 829-nucleotide ribosomal RNA is filed under the name Tyrannochthonius sp. P17. RNAcentral describes it as "partial large subunit ribosomal RNA". The record is from RNAcentral. Lineage: Eukaryota; Metazoa; Arthropoda; Arachnida; Pseudoscorpiones; Chthoniidae.
AUAUUAUUAAGUGGAGGAAAAGAAACCAAAAGGGAUUCCCCCAGUAGCGGCGAGCGAAAAGGGAUCAGCCCAAAGCCGAAUCCCUUGCCUCUGGCAUAGGGAAAUGUGGCGUAUGGGAGGCGGUGCUUUCGGAAGGGUGCAGCGACUCAAGUCCCCAUGAAUGGGGCUACGACCGAAGUGGGUGUGAGUCCCGUUCAGUCGCUCUCCUCGCUCCGAGUUCCGUUUUCCCGGGAGUCGGGUUGCUUGAAAGUGCAGCCCAAAGUGGGUGGUAUGCUCCACCUAAGGSUAAAUAUCCCCGAGAGACCGAUAGCAAAAAAGUACCGUGAGGGAAAGUUGAAAAGAACUUUGAAGAGAGAGUUCAAUAGUACGUGAAACCGCUUAGAGGUAAACGGGUGGGCCCUCGAAGUCUUAAGGCAGGUAGAUUCAGCACGGGCAUUAUCGAAGUGUUCGGGUUACGAGGGGCGGAAGUCAACGACUAGACCUCGCCUUUCUAGCCGCGAUCCUUGCCCGUGCGUAUUUCUAACCUGCCAAUAAGAGGCCGCGACCGGUUGGUAGAUGUUUUAAAGGACAGUGGGGCAGGUGUCCUACCUCACUUCGGUGGGGUGGGUGUUAUAGUCCACUGACAGCUGAACGUCACGCCGACCGGACACGAGAGUACCUCGCUUGGUAUUACCAGAGGUCUGCGGUCAGUAGGCCGGGUUCCACCCGACCCGUCUUGAAACACGRCCCCAAGGAGUAUWCAAGAUAACGGGUGAUUUGGCGUGCGCUUUCUCGUCRGGGAGCCAGGGGUCUGCGGUCAGUAGGCCGGGUUCCACCCGCACCCGUCUUG